AGUUAUAUUUUUACUGAUUUUUAUAGAGUAAAGAUAGAAAUAAAACUUAGUAAAAUCAGUAAAAAUAUUCUUAGACUAAAGUUAAGUAGUUUAAGUUGUGUGCAAGUGGUAGGAGAGCGUUCUAUUUGCGUCGAAGGUAUACCGGUAAGGAGUGCUGGAGCGAAUAGAAGUGAGCAUGCAGGCAUGAGUAGCGAUAAUUAAUGUGAGAAUCAUUAACGCCGUAAACCCAAGGUUUCCUACGCGAUGCUCGUCAUCGUAGGGUUAGUCGGGUCCUAAGUCGAGUCCGAAAGGGGUAGACGAUGGCAAAUUGGUUAAUAUUCCAAUACCAACAUUAGUGUGCGAUGGAAGGACGCUUAGGGCUAAGGGGGCUAGCGGAUGGAAGUGCUAGUCUAAGGUCGUAGGAGGUUAUACAGGCAAAUCCGUAUAACAAUACUCCGAGAACUGAAAGGCUUUUUGAAGUCUUCGGAUGGAUAGAAGAACCCCUGAUGCCGUCGAGCCAAGAAAAGUUUCUAAGUUUAACUAAUGUUGCCCGUACCGUAAACCGACACAGGUGGGUGGGAUGAGUAUUCUAAGGCGCGUGGAAGAACUCUCUUUAAGGAACUCUGCAAAAUAGCACCGUAUCUUCGGUAUAAGGUGUGGUUCGCUUCGUAUUAGGAUUUACUCCGAAAGCGAAGAAACUUACAACAAAGAGUCCCUCCCGACUGUUUACCAAAAACACAGCACUCUGCUAACUCGUAAGAGGAUGUAUAGGGUGUGACGCCUGCCCGGUGCUCGAAGGUUAAUUGAUGGGGUUAGCAUUAGCGAAGCUCUUGAUCGAAGCCCGAGUAAACGGCGGCCGUAACUAUAACGGUCCUAAGGUAGCGAAAUUCCUUGUCGGUUAAAUACCGACCUGCAUGAAUGGCGUAACGAGAUGGGAGCUGUCUCAAAGAGGGAUCCAGUGAAAUUGUAGUGGAGGUGAAAAUUCCUCCUACCCGCGGCAAGACGGAAAGACCCCGUGGACCUUUACUACAGCUUGACACUGCUAUUUGGAUAAGAAUGUGCAGGAUAGGUGGGAGGCUUUGAGUAUAUGACGCCAGUUGUAUAUGAGCCAUUGUUGAGAUACCACUCUUUCUUAUUUGGGUAGCUAACCAGCUUGAGUUAUCCUCAAGUGGGACAAUGUCUGGUGGGUAGUUUGACUGGGGCGGUCGCCUCCCAAAUAAUAACGGAGGCUUACAAAGGUUGGCUCAGAACGGUUGGAAAUCGUUCGUAGAGUAUAAAGGUAUAAGCCAGCUUAACUGCAAGACAUACAAGUCAAGCAGAGACGAAAGUCGGUCUUAGUGAUCCGGUGGUUCUGUGUGGAAGGGCCAUCGCUCAAAGGAUAAAAGGUACCCCGGGGAUAACAGGCUGAUCUCCCCCAAGAGCUCACAUCGACGGGGAGGUUUGGCACCUCGAUGUCGGCUCAUCGCAUCCUGGGGCUGGAGCAGGUCCCAAGGGUAUGGCUGUUCGCCAUUUAAAGCGGUACGCGAGCUGGGUUCAGAACGUCGUGAGACAGUUCGGUCCCUAUCUGCCGUGGGCGUAAGAAGAUUGAAGAGAUUUGACCCUAGUACGAGAGGACCGGGUUGAACAAACCACUGGUGUAGCUGUUGUUCUGCCAAGAGCAUCGCAGCGUAGCUAAGUUUGGAAAGGAUAAACGCUGAAAGCAUCUAAGCGUGAAGCCAACUCUAAGAUGAAUCUUCUCUAAGCUCUCUAGAAGACUACUAGUUUGAUAGGCUGGGUGUGUAAUGGAUGAAAGUCCUUUAGCUGACCAGUACUAAUAGAGCGUUUGGCUUAUCUUU
Molecule: ribosomal RNA, 1814 nt
Filed under: Campylobacter coli
Lineage: Bacteria; Pseudomonadati; Campylobacterota; Epsilonproteobacteria; Campylobacterales; Campylobacteraceae
Description: partial 23S ribosomal RNA
Rfam family: Bacterial large subunit ribosomal RNA
Source: RNAcentral